RNAcentral lists this ribosomal RNA (324 nucleotides) under Triticum aestivum (bread wheat). RNAcentral describes it as "partial small subunit ribosomal RNA". Lineage: Eukaryota; Viridiplantae; Streptophyta; Magnoliopsida; Poales; Poaceae. The record is from RNAcentral.
AUGUCUAGGAGAAUGUACCAAGGUGGUUCCUCGGUAAAGAAAGGACCCAGGAUUGCUAUACGUGAGCAAGAUGUUGAAUUGCCAAGGGAUGUGAAUGUACGAGCUUGUGAAUGGCCAUCCGAUGAUUUUAUGGUCGAAGCAGGCUUUAAGGAGGAAUUUGAUGCAUUUGUGCGUAAUGCUGAGCUGGAGGACUUCUUACAAGAUAAGUGUCCUCAGUACUAUCAAUUGACUAAUUCCUUUGUGCGGGGUUUAAAUAUAACUGUGCGCGUAAUUCUCCUAGUGUCAUAUUUGAUAUUUAUGAUACAUCUUAUACCAUGGACUUAG